UACAAGGGGUGGAGGGCAGAAUCCUGAAACUUGAAGAGCUCACAAGUAGAGGUAGACUUGGGUCAUGCUUCUUCCUAGGGUGUAUCUGGACAAAAGAAAUUAAGUGUCAUAAAAAUACUAAGGACCAAGAAGAAACCAUAACUGAAGGCACUGAGGGAGCUCCCUGGAGAGGAUGUCGUUUGAGUAAGUCCCACUGGAUAAGAGAGUGGAAAUAGGCAGAAAGGAGAGAUUGGAAGGUAGGUUAUUCCUAGAACUAGAGGAAGAGCAAAGCAGUAGAGAUGGAAGGCUGACAAAAAGUAUUUGGGGAGCUGCAGGUUAAGUGUGUAUUAUCAGAAGCAGCUUUUUGCAGAAGGAUUGCUUGAGGCUGUUAAGAGCCAGUUAUGUUCAGACCAUAGAUCCUGAGCCACAAAAUUCUCUCACCCUCUUCUCAGUUGGGACAGCACACUGGCAAGGUUAUGGCUCUAUUUUGGAAAGGCUAGAUUUUCUUCAUAAUAUUUUUCUAUUGAUUGAUUGAUUGUCUAUUUAGGGCUGUAUCUGAGGCACAUGGAAGUUCCCAGGCUAGGGGUCGAAUCAGAGCUGUAGCCACUGGCCUACACCACAGCCACAGCAAUACAGGAUCCGAGUCAUGUCUGUGACUAUACCACAGCUCACAGCAAAGCUGGAUCCUUAGCUCAGUGAGGCCAGGGAUUGAACCUGCGUCCUCAUGGAUAUUAGUGGGUUCAUUACUGCUGAGCCACAGUAGGAACUCCCAAGAUUUGCUUUUCAUAUUGGUUAAUGUUUUUCAGAGUACCCAGGAUAACAUUUAAGUCUGCCUUGAAGGGUGAUGGAUGCAAGCAGAGUUUUAAAGAUUUUGAUUUAAGGAGGAAGAAAAAGAGAAGCAGAAUUAGGUUUCCUGACAUCUAGACCUUACCAGCGCUUAUUCCACAUUUUUUAUAACACUUGCCAUAUUGUAUUUUAAUAUUUCACUUUAUGUGUCCCAGCUCCUUCCCCUCACCUCCAGUUGGUGAGCCUCUUUUAAGGAUAGGGGCUCUGUCCUACUCAGUUUUGUGUCACCAGACUCCAUUUGGUCCAAAUAAUAUUCGGGAAGUAUUAAGUAAUAAAUACCCCAAGAAGUGGUGAUUGACCUCACUGGUCGUGUGAACUGUCUUUUUAAAAGGAACGAUCUUCCCAGGCUCCCCAAAUUUGCAGAUGUUUUGGCAGCUGAGUUAUUAGUGAACUUUACGUUUUAGCCUCACCUAAAGUCAUGAAUGGAGAUUCCUUCUUCUCGUUCUGUCGUUCCAUGCCAUGCCGCCCUGUCUUAUUUUAGGCCAGUACGUAUGAUUCACAGUGGGAACACCUUUAGAUAAAUUAUUAUUAUUUCUUCUAAAGGCAGGUGGAGAUACUUUUUUUUAAAAAAUCAAUAUCAGUACUAUAAAAUAAUCGUUUUUCUAGUCUAUACCUGGAUUGCCUGUAUAGUAAUUUUGUAUUGAACUACGCACUUUUGUAGAAAAUAAGAUGGAUAUUCCCCUCAGAGUGCAAAUUUGCUGAAGUAUGAUAAGAUGCUAAUUCAUCUUUUCCCUUAAAUCUUUUUUUUUCCCCUCUGGUUUCUAGUUAAGCAUUUAUUAAAUCGUUAGGAAGAAAAUUUAGGUCAUCUUUUUUUUCUUUUUUUUUUUUUUUUUUUUUAAUAUACAUUGACCUAGUUACUUUUUCUUUCUAAGCAGCCGUUUAAACUAGAUUUGUUGAGGAAAGUGGUUGUUUCAGUCUUGCAGUAGGUCAUAGAACACAGAACAAUGAGGAGAAUUUGCAAAGUCCAGCUAUGCUCUGCUGCUCCUUUCUCCCCUUCCGUGUCUUUGAUUCUGCCCCUUCCCUUUGGAUACCAAGGUCUUGCUAGACCAGGGCUGUACCUAAGUGACUUUUUUCAUGUAGUUAGUCCCAUUAGGGACUGUCUUCAAUUGAAAACCACUUGAUUGAUAUUACUUGGUGAUGAUUCUAGAGUCAACAUGUUGCUUGGAUCUUUCCCCCAGUUAAAGGGCACAAUAUAAGGAAUACCUGGUUCAUGAGUAAGGAACAUAAACAACAGCAGUACAUGAUAUUCAUCAUCAGGCGGUUUGAAAGUAAACCUGUAAUGCCCUCAAUUGUCUCUCUGGGAGUUGCAUUUUCAGAGACCUAAAAUAGGAUAGCAGUGUGGGUGUAGUCUUGAUAGAGGAAAACUCUCUAUCGUUGCUUUUUUUUUGGCAGAAAUUUUUCUUUUGCUUUCACAAUUAAUCACAAACUUAUUCUGGAGGGUUAUACAAGAAGUGCCCCAAAUUUCUUGGAAUAAUCCUGCGAGAAGACUUUUUGGUCACAGAACAUCUCACUUCUACAUGAUGGAAAAUUUUUGAUGGAAUAUAAGCACAUGCUCCCUUAUUCUACUGCCAGCCUUACUGCAAAAUUAUGGCUGAAAUAUACAGACCUCUUAGAAAAAAAUUGUCUCUGUUAACAGUCUUCCACUGUUUUUGUUUUUAUCCAGCCAAUUUGAAUUUCAGGGUAAACGCAGCUGAAUAAAACAUGUCAUGCAAAUUUUGUUUGAUCUGGUUUACAUUUUUACUUCUAACGAGGCCCCGAUUCUUAAAUCAGCCAACUCGAACUAAUAAUACAGCAGAAAGGUGAUGUACCGUAACACAGCCAGCUUUUCCUGUUCUGGGGGAUUAUGGUCUUCAGUUGCCUACUUUCUUGUUUGUUGAGCAAACCUAUCUCCCUUAGUUGUGCAGUUUUUGAAAAUGGUUCUAAUUUCCUGACAGUGCCCUGGGGAUCUAGACGUGGGCUUGGCGGGAAGACUAAGAACCGCCUGCCUUUCCCUCUCUUGAUGCAGCACCUUCGCUUCUUUCUUUCUGCAGCUGCACUUCCCAUUGCUCUCUUGGCCCUAUUCCUGCUACUUUGGUCACCUCAAUGCUGUGAAUACACCAACUGGUUCUCUGACUUUCCAUUUGAAUCUCCCGCUCCACCUGGAAAAGCCACAGUUCUCAUGUCUACUGUGUGAAAUCAUACCAUCUCCUACUUGAACCCUUUCCCAAACCCCUGGGUCCCUUUCUCCCUCCGCACUUUGCUGGCAUUAUGGUUGGUACUGUUUCUACUGCAGCCAUUCCCUUUUCCUUAUUCCUAGGAUAAUUUGUGCACAUCUUAUCUUCUCUGCUAAGCUGUGCAUGCCUAGAAAGUGGAAACUGGUCGUUGUUUACUCCGGAGAGUACAGUUCAGUACCAGGAGCUGGAUGAUUCCUGGAGUGCAUGAGCGCAGAUAGUAUCUUAGGGAAGCUUCAUUGACGUUAGCCAACUGCAUCCCCUCUGUUUGUAUUGCUUUCCUCCACCCCACAUUCCAGAGGGAGCAGGCACAGCACAGAGGUGCAAGCCCUGGGCUCUCCCUGUCCUGUGUGUAGGUUAAGCCAGCCAGAGGCUUGCCAACAAGGGCCCUGAUAAAAGCAAGCCACAUCCAGGACAUGAGACAAGAAAACACAGGCAGUUUGUUUUGAUCUCCAUGAUGUGUUUAUUGGUUUCGGUGCCCAUCUCAUGGAAGUGAAAUACUUAUUUUCUAUUCUCUAUUUAAUACUCGGUAUUUUAAAAACGUGUUUAAUUAUGUAAGAGCAGAACAGAAAAAAAAAAGAAGCUGCUCCUUGUAUUUUUUUAUGACAAUUUGACUGCAUUAGAGAGAGGUUAUCAUUUGAUUUCACAGAGGAAUACAAAUUGUAAUUAUUAGACUGUGAAAUGUCCCGAAGCAAAAUUUUCUUACCGUCUUGUUAAAUAUAACUUCUUUAAGUUCUAAACUCUAAUUUGACUAACCAAAGGCAGUGUACUCAUGCAACUACAAAUGUUUAAGACAUUCAGAAGAAAAG
Molecule: long non-coding RNA, 3844 nt
Filed under: Sus scrofa (pig)
Lineage: Eukaryota; Metazoa; Chordata; Mammalia; Artiodactyla; Suidae
Description: lncRNA (ENSSSCG00000061140.1)
Source: RNAcentral